GAUUCAAUAACAAAAUCAUUCGCCAGAGAACUACUAGCAAUAGCUUAAAACUCAAAGGACUUGGCGGUGCUUUAUAUCCCUCUAGAGGAGCCUGUUCUAUAAUCGAUAAACCCCGAUAAACCUCACCGUUCCUAGCUAAUCCAGUCUAUAUACCGCCAUCUUCAGCAAACCCUUAAAAGGACAAGCAGUAAGCAUGAUCAUAGGACAUAAAAAAGUUAGGUCAAGGUGUAACCAAUGGAACGGAAAGAAAUGGGCUACAUUUUCUUAAAAAGAAUACCCAACGGAAGUUCCUAUGAAAACAAGAACCGAAGGAGGAUCUAGUAGUAAAUUAAGAAUAGAGAGCUUAAUUGAACGGGCCAUGAAGCACGCACACACCGCCCGUCACCCUCCUCAAGUAAAUAUAUCAUAUUAUAACAUAUCAAACAAUAUCGAGUACAAGAGGAGAUAAGUCGUCAACAAGGUAAGCCUACUGGAAAGUGUGCUUGGAAAC
Molecule: ribosomal RNA, 490 nt
Filed under: Mydaus marchei (Palawan stink badger)
Lineage: Eukaryota; Metazoa; Chordata; Mammalia; Carnivora; Mephitidae
Description: partial 12S ribosomal RNA
Rfam family: Bacterial small subunit ribosomal RNA
Source: RNAcentral